Molecule: ribosomal RNA, 228 nt
Filed under: uncultured bacterium
Lineage: Bacteria
Description: partial 16S ribosomal RNA
Rfam family: Bacterial small subunit ribosomal RNA
Source: RNAcentral
UAACGAAGGGGGCUAGCGUUGCUCGGAAUCACUGGGCGGUAAAGGGUGCGUAGGCGGGUCUUUAAGUCAGGGGUGAAAUCCUGGAGCUCAACUCCAGAACUGCCUUUGAUACUGAAGAUCUUGAGUUCGGAGAGGUGAGUGGAAUGCGAGUGUAGAGGUGAAAUCGAUUAGAUAUUCGCAAGAACACCAGUGGCGAAGGCGGCCACCUGGGACCGGAUACUGACCGCU